CUAUGCACAUUUUCAUUCAGUUAUGUUUCAUUUUCUGCUUCCUUAUAUUCUGCAGAUAUUGUGCAAUAUGAGUUGUUUACAUUUCUGUCUCACCUUCCUGGUACUGCCAAAGACAAAUGACCUUCAUGCCAGCAUUGUUCCAUGGUGAGCUUUGCCUGGAAUUGGAGAAAAACUGAAAUGAACAGUUCACUGUGACCAUGCAGCUUGAGUCACUUGAACCAUGUCAGAUGACAAACUAUUCUUAGUGGACCUUCUGUGCAGUCAACUUAUCUUCUAAGGAGGAAAGAAACCCUUUUUCUCAGGUGGGCGCUUCACCUUUCACCAGGAGAUUUGAUUGGCCUCUUUUGCUCCUCCGAUGCAUUUGUCCCCUCAUGUUUUUCAUAUAUUCUCUGUGCCAGUAAAAGUGCUGGAUCUCACAGAAUGAAGACAGUUAGGCAAACAAGCUCCUAAGGGAAUGAAGAGAAGGAAUUUGACACGACUGAAAAAAAAAAAAAAAACCAGCAGAUGAAAAUGGAAGGAUUCCCUGCAGUUGAUCAGUUCUGCCCUGCACAGCAAGCAUCACACAGUUAGUAAGAGCUACUAAAGAGAUUUCCAGGAAGAUUUGUACAAAGUAGAGGAAAUACAAUGAGGAAAUAUAAAACCUCCACUGCGUAAGUCAACUUUUAUUUGUUUGUCUGUUUGCAAAACUGAACUAUGAAUUUAUCUUCAAUACCUUGAGAACUCCACACUUCGGGCUUCUAUAUCCAACCAACUCAAAAUAACCAAAUAACUUCAGAAAAGGAAAAAAUAAGUCAACCCAGAAACAACAACUCUCUUUGGUCUGACUGAUCUGAGCCUUUUAAACUUUAUUUAUUUAUUUAUUUAUUUAUUUAUUUUCAUUACCCCGCUUCAUGAGCUUGGUAGUUUGAACAAGAGACUUCUGUUUUGACAGCCUGUCUCCUGGGUUCCCCACUGAAAAGGCCAAAGCUCCCAGUGAAGCAGCAGUAGCUGCCUUUAAACAGGAGACGAGCACUUCUUGCUUUCUUGUGCUGCAUGCAAAUAGAGAGGCUCAGAGUUACCCAGCUCUGCCAAGCUUCCCCCUAAUGUGCCUUCUGCAUGGCAAUGGCCAGCACAAGUGAUCAUCCAGCACCGUGUCUUUGAGCGUGUUAAUGUCUCUGACCCCGGUCCACUGAUCACCCGUUUCGGCAGGGGACUCAUCAUCUGUACAAACAGCAUUUACAGAGCCCGCAGCCUCCUGGCUGUACGUGACAGAGAGCACUGCUUUAUGCUCUGGCUCUUCAGCAGAGCUCAGUGAAGGGCAGCUGCCCCUUCCGUGCUUGUAAGUAACACUUCCAUGACAACACCUUCAGCUCAUUAGUUUUGUUUGUUUCUUUCCAGAAUGGCAGUAUAUUUUCUAGGUUUUUUUUAAGUGCAGUAAAGAAUGGGCCAUCAUAUCUGUUACUAAGCUACCCACGGGGUAAUUCAGGAGAAGGCUGGAGGUUUUAAAAACAGAGGAGAGAUGAUCACACUGCAGAAACUAUAUUUAAUCCUUCAACCCCCACCUCACCACCUGAUCCUCUGCUGCAGUGCCAGUACCAGAGCCCAGUACAAACAUUCAUAGUCACACAUGCAUGAAAAUGUGUUUAAUAAAAUGAGAAACUCUAUACCCCAAACUGAUAAAACCUCAAGCAAACAUAGUCAAGAUGCUGCCCUCUUCUACCUUACUGUUCCUUUAUUUCUUUGAGGAAGGAAAGAGUGAUACUGCCUUCCCUUUUCCAAGUGGAAAUCAAGUAGCCUGUCAGCCCCAGAUGAGUUAAAGGGCGGUGGAAUUUUAUGAGAGUGGGAAGGGUAGGGAUUAUCAGGGUGUUUGUGAAGGUGAUCUUUGAGUUGAUAUGUGUAGUGGUUUUCCUAGGGCCACACAGCAGCUCUGCUCUGCCAAGGCACAGGCCACCAUUCACAUCUCAGUUUUAACCUGGCUGUGUUCCCCCAGCCAGGGACUCAAUACUGUAAAAUCUGUGCCAGUAUGAGAUAUUAGUGCCACAGAUUGGGAAAAAAACUAAUAGUCCAUUGGCACCGUGAAACUUGCCCUAAAUUUGCACCCUAGAAGCAAAGAAAAGACAGAUACAGAAACAUGUGAAAUCUCCAUUUAGUCAUAUCAAAAUCCUUUACUGAUUACCUUGGGG
This is a long non-coding RNA of Empidonax traillii (willow flycatcher), 2162 nucleotides long. RefSeq lists it as uncharacterized. Lineage: Eukaryota; Metazoa; Chordata; Aves; Passeriformes; Tyrannidae. The record is from RefSeq and is a predicted model, not a curated record. The transcript has 2 exons.